This 301-nucleotide ribosomal RNA is filed under the name uncultured bacterium. Its description in RNAcentral is "partial 16S ribosomal RNA". It matches the Rfam family "Bacterial small subunit ribosomal RNA", at positions 509 to 807 of the family's 1533-position model. The record is from RNAcentral.
CAGCCGCCGCGGUAAUACGUAGGUGGCAAGCGUUGUCCGGAAUUAUUGGGCGUAAAGCGCGCGCAGGUGGUUUAAUAAGUCUGAUGUGAAAGCCCACGGCUCAACCGUGGAGGGUCAUUGGAAACUGUUAAACUUGAGUGCAGGAGAGAAAAGUGGAAUUCCUAGUGUAGCGGUGAAAUGCGUAGAGAUUAGGAGGAACACCAGUGGCGAAGGCGGCUUUUUGGCCUGUAACUGACACUGAGGCGCGAAAGCGUGGGGAGCAAACAGGAUUAGAUACCCGAGUAGUCCCUGUCUCUUAUAC